Molecule: ribosomal RNA, 427 nt
Filed under: uncultured Geovibrio sp.
Lineage: Bacteria; Pseudomonadati; Deferribacterota; Deferribacteres; Deferribacterales; Geovibrionaceae
Description: bacterial SSU rRNA
Rfam family: Bacterial small subunit ribosomal RNA
Source: RNAcentral
UGGGGAAUUUUGCGCAAUGACCGAAAGGUUGACGCAGCAACGCCGCGUGUAUGAUGAAGGCUUUCGGGUCGUAAAGUACUUUCAGUGGGGAAGAACUGCAUAAUCAGUAACUGGGUUAUGAUUGACGGUACCCACAGAAGCAGCCCCGGCUAACUCCGUGCCAGCAGCCGCGGUAAUACGGAGGGGGCAAGCGUUGUUCGGAGUCACUGGGCGUAAAGAGCUCGUAGGCGGCAGUGUAAGUCGGGAGUUAAAGGCAACAGCUCAACUGUUGUAAGGCUUCUGAAACUACAUUGCUAGAGUGCCAGAGAGGUAUGCGGAAUUCCCUGUGUAGCGGUGAAAUGCGUAGAUAUAGGGAGGAACACCGGUUGCGAAGGCGGCAUACUGGCUGGUAACUGACGCUGAGGAGCGAAAGCGUGGGGAGCAAACA